Molecule: non-coding RNA, 1538 nt
Organism: Paramuricea clavata
Lineage: Eukaryota; Metazoa; Cnidaria; Anthozoa; Malacalcyonacea; Plexauridae
Source: the annotation of a GenBank genome assembly
AAACAAGAGGAGGCGAACGGAAGCGCCAGUUCCGUCAGUCGCUUGAGCACAUGUAUGAAUAAUACUUAUGAGGGCGAAAGUUGCUGAUGAUUUUCGAUGAUGACCUCCAAAACUGCAUGAGAGACGUAUUUUUCAAUAACUAUGUCUUUGGCCAACUUAGAUAAGGCUGGAGUUAAUGAAAUAGGUCGAAGAUUCUUGUUUAUAUCACGGAUUGGUUUAUUUUUCGGGAUGGGUAUAAUAUUAGCUUGUUUCCAAGCGUUUGGCAAAUGUUUUAAAUAGUUUGAUUAUUUGCAAUGUUUUAAAUAGUUUGCAUCCUUGGAACUUAAACGUCUUUCUGCCUGCUUCGGUUUUAAUUCGUGGUGCUCCAGGAAGCGUCUACAAACAAUUACAAUUUUAUGAUCUGACAAAGUCCUCCAGCACAAAUCCAUUGAUCAUUCCCUAUCAAUUACUUCCAAGAGUACAGUCGCGUCGCCGGAGGAGUGAAAUGGCAUGCACUGUUAUUGCUAGUGCCAUUGUUAUAAUAUGUUCUUGUUAAAUUAUAUGGAAACAGACAUUUUCAAUUGUGUAAGGUGGAAACAUCUAUAGCCUGUUGGGGCAAAGUUGAUAUGAUAAUCCCUUUAGUUAUCAAUAUCUGAUAACAUGCGAGGUAAAAAUGAUUCACUUGAGUUAUGCCAAUGUGGAUUCAGCACCGUGUGAAUUUCAGUGUGCUCCAUACAUUUUUGAAACAAGAACUAGUCUCCACAAAGUAAAAAAAAAAAAAGAAAAAAAAAAGUAAAGCCAGCUUCGUGUUUACCGCGCAGACAAAAACAAUGGAAAGCGACUGCAACUGGCGUCCAAUAGCUCCUUCAAUUUCAGCCACAUUGGCAAGGAAUGUCCCGAAACUUCGUAUCUUGACAUCGAUUUAAUUUAAAGGAUAACAUUGUUGUUUAUGAAAUGCUCAUCUGGCUAGCGAGAUGCAUGGUCCACAUUGGAUGUUUCACAACAAAAGUUCUGGUCUAACAUCACUAGGUUGGGACGAUUUUAAUGAAUUAAAUGUUAGAAAAAUUUUCCUCAUUUCAAUAAUAUUAAUAUGUAGUGGAAUCCACUCAAGUUCACGAAAUAGAUUAAUGGAAGUAGCUCUAUGAUCUUGUUCUAAAAUUAAUCUAGCUGCUCUUUUUUGCAGUAUAAAAAAAUCAUUAAGUAGCUCGUUCCUUGCACUACUCCAAAUGGUGCAGCAGUACAACAGGUGUGGAUAAAUUAAAGAGUAAUAAAACUGGAUGCGAAAACGUAAGGGAAGGCUAUGUCUAAUUCUGUUGAGCAAAUAGAGCCUGGAAUUAAUGGUAUUGUAAAUUAGAUGAAUUUGGCAGUCCCAUUUUAAAUAACAGUCGAAUGUAAUACCAAGAAGUUUAGCCUUAUUUACCUCUUCAAUAACCACACCAUCAAGUUGCACUAUUAGAGGAGAGGUAUCUAGAAAUUUACGCUUAGAGUAAACUUUAAUCGAUUUAGUUUUUUUUUUUUUACAUUUAAGACAACGUGAAGUAAAUUUAAAUUAUAACUGA